UCUUGACCACUGCACUGCAUGUUGUCCCAGGGCAUCACAAUCCUCAUGGAAAUGCACAAUGUUCUUCAGUGGCUGGUGCUGAGAAAACAUCUUUAUUAUGUUAAGGGGAAAAAAAAUCAAGCUGGAUUACUACAUCCCUACAUUAUGUUAUAAACCACAAAGUAGAAAGUAAAUAGAUUAAAGACCAAAGUAUGAAAGAAAUUGGAGGGGUUAAUGAGAGGAAUUACCAACAAAGCAACAUUGAAGUGAUGGAAAACUUCAAAGAAAGUGCUACUUGGUGUUCCUAAGAGUCAGAAAAAGAAUGGCUGGGUAGAGUCAUUUCUAAUCAUUAAAGCUUACUAAUCACAGAUUCUAUGAGCCACUCUGGGGGCUUCAGAUUCCACAGGCCUAGGGAGGACCCAGACAUUUUUUCUAAUUUUAAAGCAAGCUGUGCCACCGACUGUAUUUCUCAAGAUUUGAGGACUCAAAGUUCUGAAAGUUCAGAGGAAAAAAUGAUACGGUCCCAUGACCAGAGUCUAAGACAAAAAGAUGGCUUAAGGGUGAAGUGAGGAGAUGCCCAAUAAUGAAACGUUGACAAUAAAAACUGAAAAUUUAAUAUGGAUGAGUUAAAAUACAGUGGAGGAUGUGGGGAUAUAAAUAAUGGCAUGUGGCUGAUGGCACAGGAAGGAUACAACAGAGGAGAAAAAGCACACUAUCAGAAACCGAUACAAAGAGGAUUGGCUUAAGAACGGUGUAAGGAGGGGUUAAAUCUGAGAAUGAGCUCAAGCUUGAGAAAAAUGCAGAGGACAAUAAAAGGAAUUGUUAACGUA
This is a long non-coding RNA of Hyaena hyaena (striped hyena), 809 nucleotides long. RefSeq lists it as uncharacterized. The transcript is spliced from 2 exons. NCBI's taxonomy places the organism in Eukaryota, Metazoa, Chordata, Mammalia, Carnivora, Hyaenidae. The record is from RefSeq and is a predicted model, not a curated record.